GAUGUUUGAGUUUGCUGCAGGGACAGAAAUGGCACAGUUGAUCUGUGGAGGAUGCCACACGCUACUGAUGUAUAUACGAGGAGCAAGCAGCGUUCAGUGUUCUUGCUGUCACACGGUAAAUCUGGCUCUGGAAGGUAAGCAGGUGCUCCUGAUCAAAAGUCCAGUGUCAGAUUUACUUGCUAAAUUUCUCAUAACAUAAAUGACAUUUUCCAAAGACAAUUGUUGCAUGAAGAUGACAAUUACUGGCUCAAUUAGUAUCAUUCUUUCACAUAUAUUUACUGACAAUGUGUGACACUCAAAAGAAAUCCUGAUGAAGCACAUGGCAGACUCAUUUCUUGACAUUCCAAUUCAUUUAUAUGCAGUCCUUUGCAGGAUAAUUAACACAAAAUGAACUUGAGACACUUUGGUGGCACACUGGUCGCCGAUACCUAAUCGACAUGCAUUUAGAUCCUCUUGAAUCAGAAAUUUUCUUUUUUUUAGAACAGCUAGCAGUAAUAGAAAAUUAUCUAAAGGCCUUCUUUGGAUCAAUUUUUUGUGGGGUUAUAUUUAUUGCUGUUCUAUGUAAAAGUAUGUCUUUAAACUACAGCAGAGGCAUAUCAACAGAUGCCUGAACAUAUUGUGUAUACAUGACUAUUCUAGCCGAAACACUAUGGAUACAACUUUUCCAAACACCUCUUUCUAAGCUUCACAAGUGUCCAUCUGAAUCUUGGAGCCAUUCUCUGUCUACCUAAAUUCUUAGUCCAUGAUGUAGCUAGAAUAUAUAGGUUUCAAUGUAGAGACAUUUCAUUUUCCUAUUGUCAUUAACAACUCACAAACAUAAAAGGGUUUAUUUUAUAUAUAUAUAUAUAUAUAUAUAUAUAUAUAUAUAUAUAUUGCUUGCUGACACAUAUUAAGUUCAAUAAACAUGUUUGGUUCCAGCAAAUCAGGUAGCACAUGUGAAUUGUGGGAACUGCCAAAUGCUGCUGAUGUAUCAAUAUGGAGCAAGAUCAGUGAAAUGUGCAGUCUGCAACUUUGUCACUUCCAUUGGGGUAAGUAUCAACCAAAUCUGUACAAAGUGAUGAUUGAGUUAUGAAAGCCAUGUUUAAAUGUGAAAACACAAUUUAUAUUGCUAAAUCCUUCAUGCUUUGAACACCUUUUUCAUUGUUGAAGUCAGUGCCCUAAAUGUUGUUCAUUUGAUAGGCUUCUCCAAGCACUGAGCAAAAAGCCUAGCAUUUGAGUACCUUGAAUCACAGAGCUUCUUCCAUCUCUUAUGCCAAGCUGUCUUGUGACACCAAAUGUAUAGAGCUUCUUCUCUAGGCUAAUCCUUCCUUUUGGCAUGUCUAAGGUGUGAAGGUCAUCAUGGAGAGCAUGUCCUCAACUGAGCUUGGAUGGCUAAUAUUUUCUUCUUCUGUCUUGUGUCAACUGUACUUUAUGAUGACAUGAUUUGCAUCUCUGUGUCAAAAUGUUGCAGAAGAUUAUUCAAAGGUUGUUAUUGCAUACCUUAAAGUUGUACUUCCCUCCCUUAUUUUUUUCUUAUCCAAUUGCUCAUCUGCUAAUUAUAAUUAUCUUUGAUUACUGAUAUAAUCUUAAAUCCAGACUCUCAUUUUAAAUCCUGAUCGAAAAAAUAUGAUAAAUCUAACACGUGGAUUCCCCACCACUAACGCAUCAACCUGGGCCGAUGUGCACAUUGAUGCUGACUGCAACAGCUUACACAACUCCUUACACAUCCGAGUAACGUCGAUAACUUCAAAAAUCAUUUUCAUGAAAUAACUCUCCAUCGAGUGGAGACGAUUAUCAAAGCUAUCCCUAUCUAUAAAAUGUAAAAUUUUAAUUAUCCUAAACUCAGCAAUACUCUUCUCUACAUCAUUGAUUUAAACAAUGGAGAGACUUUGUCAGAUACAUCCAAUGUAAUUUUAUCCAAACUACUUGGAAUUGGACUUACGACAAACUCAGACCCAAACCAAGUUGACUUCAUGACUCAUGUUGAACAGUAGGACAAUCAAAAAUUAGUUUGGAGUCAUUAAAAUUCUGAAUGCAGAUCAAAUUAGAAAACAGAAGUAUAUUAAUAAGGAUCAGAACAAUACCAUUACCAUCUAAUCAAACUGGGACAGAGCAUAAGCAUCUUUGAUAAAUAACCAAAUCAACUUCACUUGCCAAAGGUGAUAAUUGCAGGACAUGCUAAAAUCUAGCACAAAUGAAGGUCUUGCACAAAACCUACAUGCCACUUGGUCUGACAAAAGCUUAAUGUACCUCACCCUGUUUAAGCUCAUUCAUACCAAUAGCAAUAUUUACACAAGACUCUCAUAGACCAUGGAGAUGUAAGUUACAAACAUCAUUUGUACCUCAUGUGGACUAAGGAUUAAACUACUGGUUAGAGGUUUAUUUAACCCACUAAAUUUUAGCCUGGGUUAAAAAUAUCCCACCUAAGUUAAAGAAUCCUCUCUCAUCUUGUUUGCCCAACAUGACAACUUACCUGGAUUAGCACCCCCAAACAAAAAAAGGAUCAACCAACAUUGUCUAAAACCUUCAGCAAUGAAUCUCAAGCAAUUUACUCUGGAAAGUUGUUAUGAAUAUAUAUGUACACAAAUAUAUAUUCAUAAAAUUAGUAAUUUUUAUAUUUAUGUAUAUUAUUAUACAACAAUAACAAAAUCAUAAAGUCCCAACUAUUUAUGCAUAGUUUUAUAUAAUAACAAAACUAAAAGAUCUCGACCAUUUGGGCUGAAUACAUCAAUAUUUUAUUGUCGGUAAAUUGAUACAUAAUCUUAUAAAUUUCAAAUACAAUCAGCAACAUAAAAGCAUUAAAAUUUUAUAAGGCAUUUAGAUUUUCCAAAACUAUUAAAUAUAUGAUGACAGAUAUCUAUGAAUGAGAUUAAUAUUUACAACUCCCUCUUUACUAUUUAUUAUUUUAUUUUAUUUUUUUUAAUAUUGGUAACAAUUGACUGCGAAUAGUAAGAUUCUAUAUAAAACCUCAUUUAAAUAAUAAAGCUAAGAAAAUGAGAUAAAAGAAAACAUCACCGCGAGGAUUCAGACUCGUUGGCUUAUGAUAAGAAGUCCACAUGCACACCACCAUCACAGCUAUGGAAAGGCACCGUACAUCACAAUUCGCAUUGCCUUGUCCCAUCCUUUUAGAGCGAUUGCGGAGAAUUCAUUGGUUUUGUGUUGUGAUAGACGAAGAGAUGGUAGUGCGCUUGUCCUCUUGUAUCGUUCGCCAGAGAUGUCAAUCGUAUUCACAUAUUUAUCUUCGGGUCAUCCGAUCACGAUGGAGAAGCUGAUAAGUUGCAGUGUACCUGUUUGUCGAAAUGAAAAGCCCGCCGAAAUCCGAGAAAUUAUGCAGGAAAACCCGAUCUUUCUAGAUCUAAUCAAGUCUUCUGUUGAGAAACCCGCAUGCGAAGCACGCCCUGGUGCUGCGCGAUGAUGAGAGAGAGGAACCUGCAUGCAAGCCGGGAGGGAAGCUCCGGCGCGUAGAGGCAUCGUCGCUUACGAAGGCCGCAGAACAGAUGUCCACGUCUCUGCGAUGACCAUGCGAGAAGAAAUGGGGGAGAAAUCGCUAGGGUGACACAGAAAUGGUGGGAGGAACUAAGCCUCCUCGAUGCCCUCCGGUCUCUUUUCCCUAAUCGGUAACCGAUAACCGAUACGAUUAAGGGUUUCAUGUCCUCAUCACCCAUCAAACUCUAUUUCAUCGACAACCAUUCUCAU
Molecule: long non-coding RNA, 3675 nt
Filed under: Musa acuminata (dwarf banana)
Lineage: Eukaryota; Viridiplantae; Streptophyta; Magnoliopsida; Zingiberales; Musaceae
Description: long non-coding RNA (MACU_LNC003755)
Source: RNAcentral